RNAcentral lists this ribosomal RNA (253 nucleotides) under uncultured bacterium. Its description in RNAcentral is "partial 16S ribosomal RNA". It matches the Rfam family "Bacterial small subunit ribosomal RNA", at positions 524 to 776 of the family's 1533-position model. The record is from RNAcentral.
UACGGAGGGUGCGAGCGUUGUCCGGAUUUAUUGGGUUUAAAGGGUGCGUAGGUGGCUUAAUAAGUCAGUGGUGAAAUACAGCCGCUCAACGGUUGAGGUGCCAUUGAUACUGUUAAGCUUGAAACAAGUGGAGGUUGCCGGAAUGGAUGGUGUAGCGGUGAAAUGCAUAGAUAUCAUCCAGAACACCGAUUGCGAAGGCAGGUGACUACGUUUGAUUUGACACUGAGGCACGAAAGCAUGGGGAGCAAACAGG